RNAcentral lists this long non-coding RNA (1513 nucleotides) under Manacus vitellinus (golden-collared manakin). RNAcentral describes it as "lncRNA (ENSMVIG00005007703.1)". Lineage: Eukaryota; Metazoa; Chordata; Aves; Passeriformes; Pipridae. The record is from RNAcentral.
GGAGCUCAAAGCAAGGUCCCUGCCAUGGAUUCAGGCAUUGCUGAGAGUAUCCCAGGGGUCCCUGUCCCUGCUAGACAUGGAGCUCUCUAAUGGGCUGUAAUUGGGUGAUAAAAGUGGUGCUCCAAGUGCCAAAGAAGUGUGGGGUUGGGAUUAAGAAAUGAGCAGUGAGGGUCCAAUUGGCUGUUUGCUCUGGAAUGUGACUGUAAGAGCUGCAGGAGUGCAAGGUGUGUGUUCCAGUCCCCAGCAUUUGGUUUGCACAUGUCCUGGUCAGACACAGGUCCAACUUGCUCCGUCCUUAACACAAGAGAGGGAGAAUGAAGGACUGGCAGUGUUAAGGUGAUUGGUGUGACAGGGGUUAAACUGGGAAAACAUUGGGUAAUUCCUCAGUUUCUCUAUUUGCCAAACUCGCCCAAACCUGUACUAGGAAGAGAUUGAGUGGAAAAGUUGAGGCAGAAAUGCAAGUGAAAACUGGGGAUAUUGAAACUGUAAUUGCUGUAACUAAAUGUGUCCAAGCAGCAGCUCUUGUUGUGCAGGGAAUAACUCCUGUCAGCAGCAAGGCCCCGACUGAAGUGGCAGCUGCAGUUGUUCCUGUGGUGUGGGCCAGUGGAGUUGCAGGAGAGUGGAAGAGGGCAGAACCUGACGUGAAUGCAAGAACCUGCCAAGAAAACCAAUGGCCAAGAUGAUUGAUGAGUGCAGGACCUGAGAGAAGCACCUUGAAUGACAACCUGGAGGAGUUUCCAGUAUUGGAUUUAAAAGAUGGCCUUUGCCUCUCCUUGAGCAAGGAAAGCCAAGAAAGCUUUGCUUUGGAGGAGAAAAUGGGGCAAGCAGGCAGGAAGAAGAGAAGCCCCGUGACUCCUCCCUGAGCCCCAGACAGCCCAUGAACUGCCUUGCUGGCAAUGGUGGGACGGGCUGGACUCUGCAUUGCUCCCUCGGGAUGUGUGGCUCUCCCCUCAGGAACUGCAGGAACUCCUGGUGCCGCCUGGGCCGAUGGAUUGGACGCCCCAGCCCCUCCGUUCCUGCCCAGCCACUGGGUCCGUGUCCAGUGGUGGCACUGCCAGCCCUGCAGUGGGAUGUAGCCUGGAAAGUGCACAGAGCUGAGCCAAGGGAUUGAAAGGUACCAACCAAGGGAGGUGAAGAAAGAAGGAAGAAGGGAAGUGAGGCAGCAGCCAAGCAGCACCAAGUGCUGUGUAAGCAGGUGAGUUGUGUUGAGGUACCUAAGGCAGGCACUGAGGACUUGGAGGGCUCCAGACAGAGCAGAGCUGCGAAGGCCCUCGGUGAAGCCCCUUGGAAACCUUCCAAGGGUAGGUGUGUAUGGUAGUAAGUGUUGGAAAAUGCCCUGAAUGUGGAAUAGGAAUGUAGAGAACAAAAGUAAAUCCUCCUGUAAUGCUGCCAUAUCAGCUGCAGUGGAGACACCUGUGUGUUCCCUUUGGGAGCUGAUUGCCAGGGCACCUGGUGGGGUGGAAUGAUUCAAGAGCAUAGGAAUAAAAGGUUGCCUGGCUUCUAAACCUCUCCA